GGAGUAUGUGAAAGCAUACUCC
Molecule: unclassified non-coding RNA, 22 nt
Filed under: synthetic construct
Source: RNAcentral